Molecule: ribosomal RNA, 477 nt
Filed under: Hymenoscyphus fraxineus
Lineage: Eukaryota; Fungi; Ascomycota; Leotiomycetes; Helotiales; Helotiaceae
Description: eukaryotic LSU rRNA
Rfam family: 5.8S ribosomal RNA (bases 182-335)
Source: RNAcentral
GUGAACCUGCGGAAGGAUCAUUACAGAGUUCCUGCCCUCACGGGUAGAAACCCCACCCUUGUGUAUAUUAUAUUGUUGCUUUAGCAGGUCGCCCUCUGGGCGUCGGCCUCGGCUGACUGUGCCUGCUAGAGGACCCUAAACUUUGAAAUACAGUGUCGUCUGAGUACUAUUUAAUAGUUAAAACUUUCAACAACGGAUCUCUUGGUUCUGGCAUCGAUGAAGAACGCAGCGAAAUGCGAUAAGUAAUGUGAAUUGCAGAAUUCAGUGAAUCAUCGAAUCUUUGAACGCACAUUGCGCCCCUUGGUAUUCCGGGGGGCAUGCCUGUUCGAGCGUCAUUUAGACCAACUCCCGCUCCGGCGGGGUCUUGGGCUGCGCCUUUGGGCGGGCCUUAAAACUAGUGGCGGUGCCCUAAGGCUCUACGCGUAGUAAUUCUUCUCGCGAUAGGGUCCUUGCGGUGUCUUGCCAGCAACCCCCAAC